CCUCCUUUUCUUGGCGGGGACCGGGCGUGUGGUCCCGCUCCCCGUUAUGUACGGAGGCAGAGUGAAAGGGCUCCGGCGUCAUGUCUUCGGUGCCGGCGGCUUCACAUCCGCCGGUUCUAUCCUCAAGCGCCGGGACACUG
Molecule: small nucleolar RNA, 140 nt
Filed under: Microcebus murinus (gray mouse lemur)
Lineage: Eukaryota; Metazoa; Chordata; Mammalia; Primates; Cheirogaleidae
Description: Small nucleolar RNA SNORA57
Rfam family: Small nucleolar RNA SNORA57
About the family: U99 belongs to the H/ACA class of snoRNAs which are thought to guide the sites of modification of uridines to pseudouridines, the target for this family is unknown.
Source: Rfam by way of RNAcentral